Molecule: ribosomal RNA, 253 nt
Filed under: uncultured bacterium
Lineage: Bacteria
Description: partial 16S ribosomal RNA
Rfam family: Bacterial small subunit ribosomal RNA
Source: RNAcentral
UACGGAGGAUGCAAGCGUUAUCCGGAAUCACUGGGUUUAAAGGGUGCGUAGGCGGUCAGAUAAGUCAGAGGUGAAAGCUUUCCGCUUAACGGAAAAACUGCCUUUGAUACUGUUUGACUUGAAUUAGGCUGAGGUACGCGGAAUGUGACAUGUAGCGGUGAAAUGCAUAGAUAUGUCAUAGAACACCAAUUGCGAAGGCAGCGUACUAGACCUUAAUUGACGCUGAGGCACGAAAGCGUGGGUAGCGAACAGG